Molecule: ribosomal RNA, 468 nt
Filed under: uncultured bacterium
Lineage: Bacteria
Description: partial 16S ribosomal RNA
Rfam family: Bacterial small subunit ribosomal RNA
Source: RNAcentral
GACGAACGCUGGCGGCGUGCUUAACACAUGCAAGUCGAACGGAAAGGCCCUGCUUUUGGGGGGUGGGCGAGGGGGGAAAGGGGGAGGAACACGGGAGGAACCUGGCCUUGAGUUUGGGAUAAAUUGAGGGAACUGGGGGUAAUAACGGGUAGGGGCGCCUGCUGCGUGGGGGGGGUGGGGGGGUUGCGUCGGUUGGGGGUGGACUCGCGGCGUAUGAGCUUGUUGGUGGGGUAGUGGCUUGCCAAGGGUUUGACGGGUAGCGGGCCUGAGAGGGUGACCGGCCACAUUGGGACUGAGAGACGGCCGAGACUGCUACGGGAGGCAGCAGUGGGGAAUAUUGCACAUUGGGCGGCGGCGUGAUGCAGCAACGCCGCGUGCGGGAUGACGGCCUUCGGGUUGUAAACCGCUUUCGCCUGUGACGAAGCGUGAGUGACGGUAAUGGGUAAAGAAGCGCCAGCUAACUACGUG